GGACGAACGCUGGCGGCGUGCUUAACACAUGCAAGUCGAACGGAAAGGCCUUGCUUUUGUGGGGUGCUCGAGUGGCGAACGGGUGAGUAACACGUGAGUAACCUGCCCUUGACUUUGGGAUAACUUCAGGAAACUGGGGCUAAUACCGGAUAGGAGCUCCUGCUGCAUGGUGGGGGUUGGAAAGUUUCGGCGGUUGGGGAUGGACUCGCGGCUUAUCAGCUUGUUGGUGGGGUAGUGGCUUACCAAGGCUUUGACGGGUAGCCGGCCUGAGAGGGUGACCGGCCACAUUGGGACUGAGAUACGGCCCAGACUCCUACGGGAGGCAGCAGUGGGGAAUAUCGCACAAUGGGCGGAAGCCUGAUGCAGCAACGCCGCGUGCGGGAUGACGGCCUUCGGGUUGUAAACCGCUUUCGCCUGUGACGAAGCGUGAGUGACGGUAAUGGGUAAAGAAGCACCGGCUAACUACGUG
This 469-nucleotide ribosomal RNA is filed under the name uncultured bacterium. RNAcentral describes it as "partial 16S ribosomal RNA". It matches the Rfam family "Bacterial small subunit ribosomal RNA", at positions 27 to 507 of the family's 1533-position model. The record is from RNAcentral.